Molecule: long non-coding RNA, 1704 nt
Organism: Rana temporaria (common frog)
Lineage: Eukaryota; Metazoa; Chordata; Amphibia; Anura; Ranidae
Exons: 6
Source: RefSeq, a predicted model, not a curated record
CUUCUAAGCUGCAUCAAGCUGCUUCUGCAUUCCCCAUGAAUUGGAUUCGAAGUUCUGACAUACAUAAUCCCAUGUAUACAGACCCUUAGCCAUGAGAUCUAUAAUAAGCAGUUUUUGUUCACAGUAAUUAUUUUCUUUCGUAUCUGUACAGUGAUGUCCUUCCAGAUGUCAGCAGUGCAAAGCCUGCAGAGGCCGAGUCCCCUUCUGCCCUCAUCAACCGAGAGAGCCUGUCCUCAGUGAUUUAUAUGAAUGUGGAAGGUCCACCCCAGUCAAAGGAAGCGACAGACGACAACUAUGUAAACGUGAGGGAUUCUAAGGAGAGCCUGGAGUAUGUCAACGUGGAAGAAGCAGUAAAACCUCACAGCUCCACCCAUCACCACAGCGAUGAUGACAACAUUCCAGAUUAUGAAAAUUUGGAAAAUGACCAUAUAGGUUAAACCACCUAGUUUGCCGAUGGACAGGACCUUCGUUAACAAAGAAUACUUCUGUAAUAGAAUUAUCCCAUAUUCAAUGUUCCCCAGACAGACAUUUUUUGGAUAAAGAUUGUUCUAGAUUGUCUUUCAUAAAGAUUCUUCUGUCCCGUUCAUGAGCCAUAAUCUUUCCAGCUUCAAGCCAAUCAGAGUUGUGACGUUGUGUCACUAUUUGCUUGCAGAAAGUCCAAAAAAUUCUCAUUGGACUUACCAAGGUGCCAUAUCUUCCAUCCUCAUACCCGUUGGCCCACAAUGGUGGGCAGGUUAUUGAAGAUAUUGGACCAUUUGCUUGCAGCAAGCCCAAAAAAUUCUCAUUGGACUCACCAAGGUGCCUUAUCUUCUAUACUCAUAACCGUUAGACCACAAUCGUGGGAAGGUUAUUGAAGCCAUUGGACCAUUUGCAACAAGCCCAAAAGAUUCUCAUUGGACUCACCAAGGUGCCUUAUCUUCUAUCCCUAUGCCCAUUGGACCACAAUGGUGGGAAGGUUAUUGAAGCCAUUGGACCAUUUUCUUGCAGCAAGCCCAAAAGUUUCUCAUUGGACUCACCAAGGUGCCUUAUCUUCUAUCCCUAUGCCCAUUGGACCACAAUGGUGGGAAAGUUAUUGAAGCCAUUGGACCAUUUUCUUGCAGCAAGCCCAAAAGUUUCUCAUUGGACUCACCAAGGUGCCUCAUCUCCCAAGCUCAUACCUGUUGGGUCACCAUGGCGAGCAGGUUAUUAAAGCCAUAGGACCAUUUGCUUGAACCAAGGCCAAAAUAGCCUCAUUGGAUGCACCAAGGUGCCUUAUCUUCCAUCCCUUUGCCCUAUGGACCGCAAUAGUGGGCAGGUUAUUGAAGCUAGUGGACCAUUUUCUUGCAGCAAGCCCAAAAGAUUCUCAUUGGACUCACCAAGGUGCCUCAUCUUCCAAGCUCAUACCUGUUGGACCACAAUGGCGAGCAGAUUAUUGAAGUCAUAGGACCAUUUGCCUCCAGCAAGCCCUAAAGAUCCUCAUUCCACAAUGAGAGAUGGACCUCUCUUGGGGGGGAAUAGGCGAAAUAUGGAUGAACAGAAAAUAUGUGUCACGGAACCCUCUUCUGGAGCGUCUUUUCUAAACUUUAAAAUUACUUUAUAUUUUAUUGCCACUGUUCAAAAAGGGAUUUUUACAUUUUCUACAUUUUUUUUUACUCUUUGGAUAGACUACUUAUUGGCCCUUUACUUUUAUUAUUCUUAAUAAUAACAUACCUGUUCCACUCCUUC